Non-coding RNA from Oryctolagus cuniculus (rabbit), 4084 nucleotides. NCBI's taxonomy places the organism in Eukaryota, Metazoa, Chordata, Mammalia, Lagomorpha, Leporidae. The record is from RefSeq and is a predicted model, not a curated record.
AGGGACACUCCCGUGUGACGGGAAGACAGGGGGAGACUGAGCAAGACGCGGGGAGCCGUCCGCCCUGGAUGCCCGGGUCCCCCGCGGGGCUGCCGAGAGGCACCGGGGCCAGGAGCCGUGGCUGAGAAAGGCCCCCAGGGACCACCCCAGCACCGGCACCAGGAACACACAGAAAGCCCGAGAAGACCUGGCUGGAGGGGAUGUCCCAAAGGGACCAGAAUAUUUAAAGCCGACACAGAUCAUCUACUUGACUUCAAAAUUGUAACUAUGCGAGUUACACCAUCUCCAGCAGUUCUUUCCCGAGGACACAUUUGCACGAUUCUUCAAAACAGCACUGUUGUCCUUAGCAAAAUCUAGGAACCGCUCAAGUGUUUGCUAGGAGCGGCCCUUGCAGUACAGUACCGAAGGAGACCACAGCAGACUAUGGCACCUUCUCCUAAGAUGGCUUCCUAUGCAGCACUGCUGAGUGACAGCUACAGAUCCUAGGACGCAGUGGCUCAAGGACAGGCAAGAUUACUGGAUGGUGGACGUGCACCACGAAAUGUGGUAAAGCUAUGAAGGAAAGCAGGUGUCCAGUAGCACAAGGUUCAGGUAACGGUUAUCCUAAGCCGGGGGGGAAUGUUUGGGGAUGCACACACAUACACACACAGAAGCCCUCAAGGACAGUCAGUGCUUGUGGACAUAUUGCUCUUUGUUUUACUAGGAUUCAUUAUAGCUAAUGUAUAUAUGCAGAAUACCUCAUGUAUACUGUACAUCUCAUUUUUUUUCAGAUGGGUAAAAAAAGCCACACCCAAAUUCUCGACAUACAAUAAAGUAUAUUAAGGGCUUGGCACGCAUCUCCCGCAAAAACUUAAUACAGGUAAACUAAACUCCCUCAAAUGAUCAGUCACCGAGGAAAGCUGAGCCCCUGACCCAAUCAAAGAUGCACCUAGAAAGAACACAGGAAAAGGAAAAAUAAAAUCAAGUGGCUAAAAUCCACUCAUUUAAAAAGAAAACCAUUCUAAAACAAGGCCUAUGAAAACUAUGAGCAAAUCUUUUCAAUUAGCUGUUAACAAAAACUUCGUGAAGCAGUCACUUCUAAAAGCAGGAAGCAGAAGUACAUUACGAAUGACUGGGUGAGAAGUAUCAGGGGUCAACAAUGAGAGACCAAGAGAGCAACAGAUUAUGAAAACCACAAAGCACAUCCCUUUUGUCUGCGGACAGACAGGAAGACAAUAAAGAGAAAUCCCUCGCUCUGAGCCCUGUGUGAACGCACAGUGGUGUUUUUUAACAAAUCACAAAGCCCACCUUAUCCUAACCCGUCCUGGUGCUUAGGUACCUUGGGCACCAUUCCUGCAGCAGGGCUGGGCCUCUGCUCAAACACCCCCAGUGCUGGGGAGAGCCCGCAGUCAUCUGGGUGUCUGCCUUGUUCACAGAGAAGCUUCCAGCACCCUACCCCACCCCGCCCCGCCCCCGGGGGCCACAUGAACACCAGCAUUCUCCAGAUCACACUGCACUCCUGUUCCCCAGUGUGGACUUGCACCCCUUUCCCCAGGCACUGAGCCAGCUCCCAGGGGUGGACCCCUGACGGCAAGGCCCCAGAGGCCCGGGCCCUGUGUGACUCCUGUGCCUCCUCUCUAAGAGUCCGGAGCCCUCACCUUCAGGCCCCACUUGCCCUGGGAUCUGUCUGUCGCAUUUGGACAUCUAGCACGGAACGGGUUGAGAGGAGACAGGCCGCAGGGGCGCCUGCUUAGUUACCAUCACCAUGGAAACCUCAGGCCAGGAGCCCGGGGCAGCACCUUGGAAGUGGCAGCUCUGACAGCUCUGCUCGGGCGCCUUCCUAGCCACGGCUCACGGGGAGUCUUGGACACCGGGGAGCCCCCGGGAGGCAGCUGUGUGGCCGAGCCCCAGAUCCAAGGGCUUCCUCCCCUCUCAGUGGUCUCCAGAUGACCACCCUCGUGGAGUCCAAUUCCUUUUUUUUUUUUUUUAGAAGCUCUGGAGUGUGGGACAUUUCCUUGUCUGCAGAGAAAAACAGGCAGGCCGAUGGAGAGAGGCAGAUCAGAGGGGAGAAAAGUCUGAGAACAUUCCAGAUGUUUGUGCAGCAGCUCAGUGAAACGUCCAUUGCGAGUCACAAGGGGAAGGAUGAGUGCAAAGGUCUCCCUGAUCCAAGCAGAGCAGGGCCGGCUGUUGGCCAGGCAGUGCCCGAGAGAGCACGAAGAUCUUGGUGGCCAGGCCCCCAGGCCAGGCAGAAAAGUGGCUUAGGUGCAGCGAGGCGGCUCUGCAGAAUGUACGUGAAGUCUUGCAACUAUUGCUGGGUGACCAGGGUCUGGAGGAGUGACUACUUCAAGAGGAUGAAAACCCACGGGGAAGAGGAAGUUGGCAGGACAGUGCCUCCGUGGAAAGCUGCGGAAGGCAGGACGAUCAACAGGAAGAGGAUGAGGUCCCCGGGCCGCUCUGUGGAGCUGUGCUGACGGUCACAGUGAUUGAAGACACCGAGAAGGAAGGAAUGGGAGUAAGUCAUUGAGGCGCUCAAAUCAUCAAAAUACAUCGAAGCACAUCAUUGGAGGUUAGAGCCCGAGAGAGCUUCCGCUCGGGUGACCCCACAGGACCUAAAGAGGAGGAAGGCUUCCCUCUGAGUCUAGAAACGAAAGGCAGGACAAAGUUGGACUGGGGUGGCCACACUGCCUGAGGCCUGGAGGUUCCCCAGGACUGGCAGUUUAAAGGGAGCCUCAAAUGACACAGUGUUUACUUUUGGGUCAAAAAAUCAUCGGCAAGGGGACAACAUCAAGGCAGUCAAGAAUGAAUGGAGUGAAGUUCAACAACAUCACUGCAAAACUCCAAGGAUGUGUAGGAAUAUUCUAGGAUACUUUUUAGGAAAUAACCCAGCAAGAGCCUUUUGGGAAACACUGGUCCGGCUCAUCCAAAGAAGCAGGGUCCUGAACAGGAGGACAGGCCGAGAGCAGCCGGGGCCGCCAGGGCAGGCACCACCCUGGGAAGCGGCAACGGAGCCCAAAAAGACAACUGGAAUUAAAGAGGACUGGCCUCAGAGGCACUGCCCAGCACAGGAAAUAUGACAAAGACCCAAGCGUGUGAUACCAUUUCCAGCAUAGUCUGGUCCCCAAAACCUUCCAGAGAGCGAGCCUCAAACCCAACUUCAGUGGCUUUAACCACUCAUCGGCCACGAAAAUACCACGACUGCGGUCACCACCAUAAACACUUCCUUUGUAAUGGACGGGCUCAGCGCUGAACUUGGGUUCGGAGAUGAGUCUUCCUCUCCUCAAAUCACAUCUGUUCAUUUUUGCUGCCCAUGACGAAAUCACAACCGAGAAACCACACCAACGGUGGCUCUCACUCCCAGCCAGAGCACCUGCCCGGUUCUACGGCACAGGUUCUGUGGCACAGGGCUCCGUGGGCGCCCCCAGCCCACCCGUGGAGCAGGUGCCCCCAUGCUCACCAUCAAGCAGAGAGAACGAAGGCACAGAGCCCUUCAGGAUGCUGCCGAGAUCUCACAGCAGGCAGGCGGCCCGACUGGCUGUGCGCACAGGCACAGCGCUCCCCUUGCUGGGGACUCCUGGCUCCUGUGACUUCUUCUCAAAGCCCCUGCCUACUCUCACCUCGGCUCACCUCCCCACUCAGGGAGGGAGGCUCCCAGGUGAGAGUGCUAAGUCCUGCAGGGGCCGUGUCCACGUCCCUGUUCUCCCAGAGUCAGGAUGAGGGCAAUAAGAGCAGGCUGCCGCAGUGGGGAGAGCGCUGGGCAGAAGUUUCCGUAGCAAACUGGAGGGCGCCAGUUCCGUCCAGGUGUCUGCCAUGUCCUGUCCUGCCCAGGUGAGAGGCAGUGCCGGAGAGGGGCAGCUCCAAGUGAGGGGCAGUCCAGGGUGAGAGGCAGCUCGGGAUGGGAGGCAGCUCUGGAUGAGAGGCAGCACGGGUGGGAGGCAGCACAGGUGAGAGAGGCAGUGCUAUGUGAGAGGCAGCUCCAGGUGAGAGGCAGCACAGGUGGGAGGCAGCUCUGGAUGAGAGGCAGCACAGGUGAGAGGCAUUCCAAGCCUCCCUCAGGGCAGGUGCGUGGCCCACAGGGGCUGUGCAGACCCCUCCCCAGCUCCCUGAG